Long non-coding RNA from Papaver somniferum (opium poppy), 643 nucleotides. RefSeq lists it as uncharacterized. The transcript is spliced from 3 exons. The record is from RefSeq and is a predicted model, not a curated record. Lineage: Eukaryota; Viridiplantae; Streptophyta; Magnoliopsida; Ranunculales; Papaveraceae.
AGAUAAACAGAGAGUCAGAGACUGAGGAGUGCAGAUAUCUUCGGUGGCGGUGGACGUGGUGGUGAAUCUCCAUAAAUAGAUAUAAAACAUUUGAUGCAGCAGACUGACAAAUGUUUGAUUCGCAUACAGGAAUCUCCAUAGAUAGGGGUGGAAGACAUCAAACAACUUGAUUUGCAAGAAGAAGACAACUAUUUCUUUGUUGCUUGGGAAUAUGGCCAAGGGUCUGUUAUGGGCAACAGCUGAGGACUUGGCAAGGAAUAGAGGAAGAGUCCUCUCUCUAUAUCGUCAGAUAUUAAGAAGCCUCAAUUCUCCUAAACUUCCCAUGAACUUAGCAGCCAGAUUGGCUAAGAAAGCAGAGGCUCGUGCUAUCUUCAUGCUGGGCGCAGAAGAAGAAUCCCUGCACAACAUUGAGGACCUAAUUGAUACCGGAGAGUACGCGCUUUCUCUUUUAAGAAAAGGAGAAAUUCCUAAAUACAUUCAAUGAGUGCACCACUGAAGGAUUUCACACUGUUCUUCAAAUUUUAUUUAUGUCAAAUUUUGUACAAGAAAAACAAAAGAGGAAAUGUAGCUUUUAACGGAUGAAUUCUAAAUAUCUUUCAUACUGUCUAGCUACUGUAAUAUGCUAAAAAUAAGUUGGAACGUC